This 2641-nucleotide long non-coding RNA is filed under the name Homo sapiens (human). Its description in RNAcentral is "HSALNT0108365". Lineage: Eukaryota; Metazoa; Chordata; Mammalia; Primates; Hominidae. The record is from RNAcentral.
GCGGGGCGCUCCGAGGCGCGCUCCCACGCGCGCACACCCAGCCCCAGGCUUCCCCUUCCCUCUCUCCACUCCCCACGCCCUGCAGCGAAACGGCCCCAGAAGCCCCUCUCCGAGGCGCGAGUUCGGUUUGGUUCUGGCAGGGGCUUUGCAGCUGUCCGGAAGGUGAAGUCAGCCUUGUGUCCUGAGGAGAAACUGGAGAUGCAGGUCGCUGUGCCCUCCCGCUGCUACGUCGCUGCGCCGGAUCCUGCCAUCCUUCCGCAAGGGGUGAGAGCGGGAACAGCCCUGCCCUGCCUUCCAGGUAUUAUCUAGCCUGGAGGCUGGAGCGCAAGGUAACGCUCCGGGAAGUGGCACUCGGGUCCCCGCACACGGGCGAGUCCUCAGCAGUUCAGUGGACAGACCCGCAGGACGCGGCUGCCAAGUCCGCGAGGCAAGGACCAGGCAUCUUCCCGCGCCUCACUCCAGCCUGCGGACUGUGACUUUCCAUCCCAGUAUCAGACAAGCUCGCGAGUAACUGAACAUCCUUUCCAGUCCAUGGGUGGGGUGUGGAAAGGGCGUAAAACUCCAAAGUGGCUCCUCCGCGGUGAGCGAGCUGCCCCGGGGCUCUGCCUGACUGCAGCGCGAAGCCUGGGAGAACAAACCCAGUUCCCUCCGUCAAGAAAUUUCCAUUUAAGUCCGAGAAAGUCAUAUGAUUGAGAAGUUCAGCAGCGGCGGCGAGGACCCAGUGUCUGGGAAAGAACACCUGGAGGAUGGGGUGUCCAGGACGCCGGCUUUUCGGGGUUCCGACCCCACCCACCUUAUGUUGUAACAUACAAGCUUAGAGACCUGUUGCAAGGAACAACUGACUGGGUCUUCCACCACCCCUGGCACCCGGGUGGCCCAAAGCCUAUGCGCCCUUGGCGGAGAGAGAGGCCACGGUGCCACUGGCCGCAGCCUCUGGCCUUCAGAAACAGUGUAUUACAAAGAAAAGGCAGUUUAAAUCUCACAUUCAGCAUAGGGAAAACUGAAGGGUGCCAGGCUCGGGGACUUCUUCCAACAGAGUGGCUCUUCCCCAAAUAUGAAAGAAAAUCAUCAAAUUAAAUUGAAGGCAAAACUAAGCUUCCACCACAAAGACAUAGCAGAUAGUUGCAAGAAAUUAAUCAGAGAACCCAGGACAACGUCAGAGAUCAUAUGAGCCUCACCAGACUGCAUGAGAGUCAUAACACAGUAGGAGUCCCAGGCCUACCUCACAUGGCAAAUGGGACAGUGUUCUUCAGAACAACCUCUGCCCCAGGGAUGCAGAAAGGAGGGUUUCACUAUGUUGGCCAGUCUGGUGUUGAACUCCUCACCUCAAAUGAUCUGCCCACCUUGGCCUCCCAAAGCGUUGGAGUUACAGACGUGAGCCACCGCGCCCAGCUGGAGAAGAUGUGAAAUUUUGAGAGCUGACCAUACUUUGAGAAUAAUAAGUAGUUGGAUUCUACUGAAGCCCAGUGGCUUUUGGAGGUGUAGCAAUAAGCAGGAGGCAGCAGAAGUAAGACAAGGGCUGUAUGACAAAGUCUUGGCAAGAACUUUGAAUUUUAUCCUGAUGUGAGUGGGGAGAGCCACUGAAGAACGUGAAGCCAGAAACACUACAUGUUACUACUUCUACUUUCAGAAAAGGCUUAAUAUGGAUUAUACACCUACAAGUGGCACACACUGUUCCAAGUGGAGACUCAAAGAUGAUAACGAUACAGUGUUUAUGCUAUAGGUUUGUGAAGCUACCAAUCCAUGGACAGAUGUUAAACCUAACUUCCAAUUUCAGGUACAAAUAUCUGAGUAAAUGAUGGUAUCAUUUACUCAAUCAGUAAAGGUCAAAGAGAAGGCAGUCUGAAGAAGGGAAAGGUGUUCAAUUUUGCAUUGAGUUUGACAUACCUGUUGAGACAGCUCAGUGGAGAUAUCCAGUUGAUGCUUGGAUAUAUGGACUUACAGCUCAGGGGGAGCUAGAAAUUGAAAUUUGAGAAUCAUCAACCUAUAUUUAUAAUGGGUGAAAUCAAUAAGUCGGAAUCAAAUUACCUGGGGAAGCAUGCAGAUUUGUUUAAAAAGGAAGAGGCCUGAGAACCCAACCCUGGUAAGCAUGACCAUUCAGGAUAAGAGAGAAGGAGCAAGUAGGGAAAGAGACUGAAAUAAAGAAACCUGAGUAACCACUGAGGACCACUGCUACAAUAGAGAAAAAGGAACUUCAUUAGGGAAAUGCCUGAAAGCGAAUAAGGUAAGGAUUUUGGAUUUAGCAACAAAGAGGUCAUUUGAAGAAGUUGUUUUUAUUUUUAUUUCCUUGCAGAAUUGUAGAAAUAGAAAUCAAAUCAGAGUGAGCAGAGAAACAAUUUGAAGAUAAGGGAAUGGAGAUAAUUAUUUUAAAGUGGGAGAAGCAAGCAGAAGAUUUAGGUUUGAAGAAGGCACUAUACAAAAUAAUGUUGAUUCACUUGAGACUUGAGUGGCUGUUACAGCCACUCUCACAGGUCCCGAGGCUGAGCCUGCACAGGUGUUUCGACAACUAAGCUGCAAUUUUGACAGACACUAUUUCACUGUCAAUUGUGCGGCCUGCAACAACUUGGACAUCUUUUAUUGAUUUUAUUGAGUACUUUAAUAACAUUUUAAUAAAAGCCAUUAUAUUUUAUUUCUAACAUUU